Molecule: non-coding RNA, 48 nt
Filed under: Trichobilharzia regenti
Lineage: Eukaryota; Metazoa; Platyhelminthes; Trematoda; Strigeidida; Schistosomatidae
Source: RNAcentral
AUCCAAUUGACGAGUCCCAAAUAGGACGAAAUGCUCUUUUUCCUGGAU